Molecule: ribosomal RNA, 1221 nt
Filed under: Pherbellia cinerella
Lineage: Eukaryota; Metazoa; Arthropoda; Insecta; Diptera; Sciomyzidae
Description: 16S ribosomal RNA
Source: RNAcentral
AGAUUUUUGUGCAAUCAAUAUAGAUUGAAUAAGAUUUAUUUAUUAAUUUUUUUAUUUGUUUAUUUAAAUUAUUAAAAAUAAUUAUAGAAAUAAUUGUUUAAGUAUUGUAUAAAGAAUAAAUAAUUUUAAUUAUAGUUAAUUAGUAUUGUGAAAGAAUAUUGAAAUAAUUUGAAAAAUUUUUAUAAUAUAAGAAAAUUUGAUUUAUUGUACCUUGUGUAUCAGGGUUUUUUAAAUAAAAAAUAAUUAUUUAUUUUUCUCGAUUUUAAAAGAGUUAAUAAAACAUAAAAGUUAAUGUAAUAAAAUUAUUUUUCAUGUUUUAUUAGAAAUGAAAUGUUAUUCGUUUUUAAUGGUAUCUAGUUUUUUUAGAAAUAAAUUUAAUUUAGAAGUUUUAAAUUAUUGAAUUAUUUAUUAAUUUAAUUAUUUUAAAAUUUUAAUAUUUUAAGGGAUAAGCUUUAAAAUAAAUUAUUAAAAAUAAUUUUUAAUAUAUUAAAAAAGUAUGCUUAGAAUUAGCAACCUUUAAUAAAUUUGUUAUAAUUUAUUUUAACAUAUAUAUUAUUUAAUAAAUUUUAAAUUUUUAUAAAAAUCUUUUUAUUAAUAUAAAUUAAAAGUAAUAAUGAAAAAAUUAGUAUAUAUUAUUGUAAAAAUAAAUAAAAAUGAUAAGUUUUAGUAAAGAAUUCGGCAAAAAUAAUAUUCGCCUGUUUAACAAAAACAUGUCUUUUUGUAAUAAAUAUAAAGUCUAACCUGCCCACUGAAAUUUUUAAAUGGCCGCAGUACACUAACUGUGCAAAGGUAGCAUAAUCAUUAGUCUUUUAAUUGAAGGCUGGUAUGAAUGGUUGGACGAGAUAUUAACUGUUUCAUUUGAAAUUAUAAUAGAAUUUUAUUUUUUAGUCAAAAAGCUAAAAUAAAUUUAAAAGACGAGAAGACCCUAUAAAUCUUUAUAUUUUAUUUAUAUUAAUUAAUUAGAUGAUUUUUAUUAUUAUAAAUUAAAAUAUUUUAUUGGGGUGAUAUUAAAAUUUGAUAAACUUUUAAUUUAUUAAAUACAUUAAUUUAUGAAUAAUUGAUCCAUUAAUAAUGAUUAAAAAUUUAAGUUACUUUAGGGAUAACAGCGUAAUUUUUUUGGAGAGUUCUUAUCGAUAAAAAAGAUUGCGACCUCGAUGUUGGAUUAAGAUAUAAUUUUAGGCGCAGCCGUUUAAAUUUUAAGUCUGUUCGACUUUUAAAUUC